AGCUUUAUAGUCAAUUUUAUGAUAUUAGACUGCAAUUCUAAAGUAGGUAUUACCUAAAGCUU
RNAcentral lists this transfer RNA (62 nucleotides) under Carbula sinica. Its description in RNAcentral is "tRNA-Cys". Lineage: Eukaryota; Metazoa; Arthropoda; Insecta; Hemiptera; Pentatomidae. The record is from RNAcentral. RNAcentral also lists the same sequence under 1 other name.